RNAcentral lists this ribosomal RNA (252 nucleotides) under uncultured bacterium. RNAcentral's name for it is "partial 16S ribosomal RNA". It matches the Rfam family "Bacterial small subunit ribosomal RNA", at positions 525 to 776 of the family's 1533-position model. The record is from RNAcentral.
ACGGAGGGUGCAAGCGUUACUCGGAAUCACUGGGCGUAAAGGACGCGUAGGCGGGUUGUCAAGUCAGGUGUGAAAUCCUACAGCUUAACUGUAGAACUGCACUUGAAACUGGCAACCUAGAGUAUGGGAGGGGGAGAUGGAAUUAGUGGUGUAGGGGUAAAAUCCGUAGAUAUCACUAGGAAUACCGAAAGCGAAGGCGAUCUCCUGGAACAUAACUGACGCUAAGGCGUGAAAGCGUGGGGAGCAAACAGG